UUCUAUUUUGUAUAUUUAAUUUAUUUAAAAAUAUCAUGAUUAAUGAUUAUUAUUUAUUUUACAGUCGGUCAAGUGAAAAACUAAUAAAACGGAAUAGAAAUUUGAGCAGGAGUAAUUGUGUAUGUGUAUAAAAAAGCAAAGAGUUAUUGAAACGUAAAAGAUAUUAGAGCAAAGCAAUUGGUGGUCAUUUUUAGUAUCCAUAAUGGAAGACGAAGAGUUAAAUCUUAUGAUGUUGUUGAACUGUGGCGCAUUCAUGACCAUCAUAGAGUCUGGAAAAACCAAAUUAAGACGCAGGAGACCCUGUCAUUGGGCGAGCCCUUAUCUCAAGGCGAGAAAUGAGAAGGGGAGGUUUUUCAC
Long non-coding RNA from Bactrocera dorsalis (oriental fruit fly), 357 nucleotides. RefSeq lists it as uncharacterized. The record is from RefSeq and is a predicted model, not a curated record. The transcript is spliced from 3 exons. Lineage: Eukaryota; Metazoa; Arthropoda; Insecta; Diptera; Tephritidae.